GGAAUGUUCAAGAAGGUUUGGUUUAUGCGGCCAACGCUACGACAAACCCAAACCCUAGCCCUUCUUCUUCUUAAUCCCUAAUAUCUUCUUUUUUCUUAUCUUCAUCUUCUUCUUCUUCGCCUCUGUCUCUCUCUCCCAACAAACAUGUCUCACUUCGGACGCUCGGGUCCUCCUGACAUUUCCGACACUUACUCUCUUCUCGUUCUCAACAUCACCUUCCGCACCACAGCCGAUGACCUAUUUCCUCUAUUCGACAAGUAUGGGAAGGUCGUCGACAUCUUCAUCCCCAAGGAUCGAAGGACUGGUGAGUCCAGGGGUUUUGCCUUUGUGCGUUACAAGUAUGCUGAUGAGGCUCAAAAGGCCGUUGAUAGGCUCGACGGAAGAAUGGUUGAUGGUCGUGAAAUAACUGUCCAGUUUGCGAAAUAUGGGCCUAAUGCUGAGAGGAUUCACAAAGGAAGGAUUAUUGAAACGGCCCAGAGAUCAAGGCACCGGUCAAGAAGCCGUAGUCCCAGGAAAAGGUAUCGUGAUGACAGAGACAGAGACAGGGAUUAUAGAAAGAGAAGUCGCAGUAGAAGCUAUGAUAGGUAUGAACGUGACAAGCACCGUGGGAGAGACAAAGAUUAUCGUCACAGAAGCAGGAGCCGUAGUACCAGUCUUGAUUACAAGGGUCGUGGUAGGGCACGCUAUGAUGAUGAGCAUCAUAGUAGGAGCCGGAGUAGAUCAGUUGACAGUCGCUCCCCUGCACGACGCAGUCCUAGUCCUCGAAAGAGUCCUUCCUUACAGCGGAGCACUUCUCCCCAAAGGAGUACUUCCCCUAGGAAAAGCCCAAGGGGUGAAAGUCCAGCAAAUCGUAGCCGUGAUGGACGUUCUCCACGUUCUCCUUCCCCGCGCAGUGUAUCACCACGUGGUCGCCCUGAAGCUUCACGAAGCCCUUCCCCUCGAAAUUCGAAUGGUGAUGAAUAAGAUAUGCUUCGCAUGUUCUAGAGUGCCGGACUAUUGCACCUGUAGCUGUUUUGCUAUUGUUGGAACUUUUAGUCUGUGUGAAUGGUCUUAUCAGAGUCAUUGAAGGAUUUUAUGAUCUAAGUGCUGUUUGUUAUGAUCCGGAAAAGUGAUGGGGGCCUGAUAGGCGCAUGUUGGCUUUGUUGCUGUUGAUGCUGUUUCUAUGUCAUUGAUGAUUGGUCGUGAAUUUGAUGCUGGUUGCAAGAAUAUGCUGAUUUAAGACUGAUUUUUUACCAAUGUGCUGAUUAAACAGACAAUUAGUUGACUUGGUUUUUUCCUGAAUGAUCUGAUCAUUGUGUCCUAAAAGGGAUUCUUGAUGCUGUGACGAACAAGUUGAGCAUAUUUUGACAUGUAGCCGAUGCCUCAUAGGAGUUGGACCUGUCAUUUGUUGAUUCAGAUGCGGAUACUAAACAUUAAACUGUGGGUCGUAAAUAUGAACUUUAAUGUGCUGGUGUUUAUUUGGAAGUGGACAAUGGUAACACACUCAUGGUUACUCUUUUUUAGGGUAUUUUAAUGGAUAAUUUUUAACAUUGACCUUUCGAGAUUAUAACAUUUGUCACUUAAUGUAGUGAGAUACGUUUGUUGUAGAACACUGCUCCAUGACACUGUAGCUGUGAGGUGGUAGCUGAUGCAUCUUUAGUAGUAAGAUAUGCAUGUGUUCGUGAAUAGUUUGAAGCACUAACCAGUUACUGUAGCUGACUGUUGCUGCCCUCUUUGCUGAGAUCGGGUUGGCAAUGGUAUUAGCAGUUGGUACACUGAUGAUGGCUGUCUAGCUGUGCUGCUGGUUUCUGUUGAUUCCAAAGCCGCAUGACAGAAUUGUUUUUCACUAUUGAACUGGUGAUUUGUUUUCGUAGCCUCAGUUAAGUUAUUCAUUCGUUCUUAUGGCAUUAAAAGAUUUGUUGCUUAUUCAAUUAUGAUCGUGGUUAACAUUUGUGUCUGGUUGUUAUUGUUUUACAACUGAAGCGACCAAUGUGUUUGCAACAA
Molecule: RNA transcript, 1983 nt
Organism: Vigna angularis (adzuki bean)
Lineage: Eukaryota; Viridiplantae; Streptophyta; Magnoliopsida; Fabales; Fabaceae
Gene name: serine/arginine-rich splicing factor SC35
Exons: 10
Source: RefSeq, a predicted model, not a curated record